Molecule: ribosomal RNA, 497 nt
Filed under: uncultured bacterium
Lineage: Bacteria
Description: partial 16S ribosomal RNA
Rfam family: Bacterial small subunit ribosomal RNA
Source: RNAcentral
GAUGAACGCUGGCGGCGUGCCUAAUACAUGCAAGUCGAGCGAACAGACGAGGAGCUUGCUCCUCUGACGUUAGCGGCGGACGGGUGAGUAACACGUGGAUAACCUACCUAUAAGACUGGGAUAACUUCGGGAAACCGGAGCUAAUACCGGAUAAUAUAUUGAACCGCAUGGUUCAAUAGUGAAAGACGGUUUUGCUGUCACUUAUAGAUGGAUCCGCGCCGCAUUAGCUAGUUGGUAAGGUAACGGCUUACCAAGGCAACGAUGCGUAGCCGACCUGAGAGAGGGAGCGGCCCCACUCGGACAGUGACACGCUGCAGACACCUAUGGGAGGCACCAGUAGGGAAACUUCCGCGAAGGGGGAAAACGUGACGGGGCGAAGCGCCGCGUGUGAGAAAAGGCUUCGGGUCGUGAAACUCUCUUUUAAGGGAAAAAAAAAAAUGUGAAUAUCUAUACGCGCGUUGACAGUACCCAAACAGAGAACCCCGGGUAAAACUAUG